UACGGGGGGGACAAGCGUUGUUCGGAAUUACUGGGCGUAAAGGGCUCGUAGGUGGCCAACUAAGUCGGACGUGAAAUCCCUCGGCUUAACCGGGGAACUGCGUCCGAUACUGGUUGGCUUGAGUUUGGGAGAGGGAUGCGGAAUUCCAGGUGUAGCGGUGAAAUGCGUAGAUAUCUGGAGGAACACCGGUGGCGAAGGCGGCAUCCUGGACCAAUACUGACGCUGAGGAGCGAAAGCCAGGGGAGCAAACGGG
Molecule: ribosomal RNA, 253 nt
Filed under: uncultured bacterium
Lineage: Bacteria
Description: partial 16S ribosomal RNA
Rfam family: Bacterial small subunit ribosomal RNA
Source: RNAcentral